AUGGUGGCCCUCAGCGCCUGCAGCGCGCCGUGGAGCCUGGCGGAGCCGCGGAGGCUGUUGCACGCCAGCAGGCGGAGCUCGUCCUCCACGUCCCGCCGGAUGGUCGGCGCGCGCAGCAGCGUGCCCCGGAAGGCGAUCACCGCGCUGGGCGCGCCGGUGGGCCUCUCCUCCUCCCCGCGGCGGUCGAGCAGGUGGCGGUCCUCCCACUCGAAGAUGGCGCCGAAGACGGAGCCGUCGCGCUCGUCCACCAGCUCGUGCGCGAGGCGGUAGCUGAAGGGCUUCCACCACUGCUGCGCCACCUCCGCCGCGUCCCGCCGCUCCUGCCUCUCCAGCUCCAGCAGGUACACCGCCUCGAUCAGGCUCGCCAUCACCAUCCUCCUGUAA
Molecule: ribosomal RNA, 384 nt
Filed under: Triticum aestivum (bread wheat)
Lineage: Eukaryota; Viridiplantae; Streptophyta; Magnoliopsida; Poales; Poaceae
Description: partial small subunit ribosomal RNA
Source: RNAcentral